UACGGGGGGGCAAGCGUUGUUCGGAAUUACUGGGCGUAAAGGGCGCGUAGGCGGCCUGCUAAGUCGGACGUGAAAUCCCUCGGCUCAACCGAGGAACUGCGUCCGAUACUGGUGGGCUUGAAUCCGGGAGAGGGAUGUGGAAUUCCAGGUGUAGCGGUGAAAUGCGUAGAUAUCUGGAGGAACACCGGUGGCGAAGGCGGCAUCCUGGACCGGUAUUGACGCUGAGG
This 227-nucleotide ribosomal RNA is filed under the name uncultured bacterium. RNAcentral describes it as "partial 16S ribosomal RNA". It matches the Rfam family "Bacterial small subunit ribosomal RNA", at positions 524 to 751 of the family's 1533-position model. The record is from RNAcentral.